RNAcentral lists this ribosomal RNA (468 nucleotides) under uncultured bacterium. Its description in RNAcentral is "partial 16S ribosomal RNA". It matches the Rfam family "Bacterial small subunit ribosomal RNA", at positions 28 to 507 of the family's 1533-position model. The record is from RNAcentral.
GACGAACGCUGGCGGCGUGCUUAACACAUGCAAGUCGAACGGAAAGGCCCUGCUUUUGUGGGGUGCUCGAGUGGCGAACGGGUGAGUAACACGUGAGUAACCUGCCCUUGACUUUGGGAUAACUUCAGGAAACUGGGGCUAAUACCGGAUAGGAGCUCCUGCUGCAUGGUGGGGGUUGGAAAGAUUCGGCGGUUGGGGAUGGACUCGCGGCUUAUCAGCUUGUUGGUGGGGUAGGGGCUUACAAAGGCUUUGACGGGUAGCCGGCCUGAGAGGGUGACCGGCCACAUUGGGACUGAGAUAGGGCCCAGACUCCUACGGGAGGCAGAAGUGGGGAAUAUUGCACAAUGGGCGGAAGCCUGAUGCAGCAACGCCGCGUGCGGGAUGACGGCCUUCGGGUUGUAAACCGCUUUCGCCUGUGCCGAAGCGUGAGUGACGGUAAUGGGUAAAGAAGCACCGGCUAACUACGUG